Molecule: long non-coding RNA, 2372 nt
Organism: Lagopus leucura (white-tailed ptarmigan)
Lineage: Eukaryota; Metazoa; Chordata; Aves; Galliformes; Phasianidae
Exons: 4
Source: RefSeq, a predicted model, not a curated record
UUUCCUUUUCUAAACACAAGAUUUAUUUGACUUUUGACAAAGCAUGGCGGUACCUUUCAGUUGCAGUCAGCUUACUGUGGAAACAAGAAGCAUUUACUAUGAGAUUGUGAGCAGUAAUGGGAACAGAAUUGCUUGUUGUUAGGUUAUUGUAAACAAUAUCCAUUGGAUGUUACGGUGUAGUUGUAGGCCAGCACAACAUAAUGAGAAGUUCAGCAUUAGUAUAGAUAAGGUGCUCUUGCUUACCUGGUAUGCAUCAGUUUCCACUGUAAUUCUCCUUCAGUGCUUUCAGCAGCAAAAUACUUAGUGUGGCUUUAAGCACUGAAAAACAUGUGGGACAACCAUAUACCACGAGAGUUAUGAUUUAUAUCAUUAAGCAGUGAGUUUUGCAGAGUUGUGUCACUCAUGUCAAUGAAGCAAGAAGUAUUCUGCCGGCCCUUUAGCUGUGGCAUGUCAUCAAAGCUAUAUUAUGGUAUGACUGAGUGCAGAUGGCAUGUCUAAAAAGCAGGUGUACAAUAUAACUUUCAUAUUACUGACACGUAGAUAUUUCCUCUUCCUCAGUGUCCAUUCCCAGAUGUUUGCUUGCCCAGACUUCUACAGGAACUAUAGAAAGUCCUGCUCAUCCCUCAUGUCUGGAUUUGUAUCGUCAAAACCCAUACAGAAUAUGUGUUUACAUAUAUUUGUAUGCAUUUAUGCUGACAGCUCCUUUCUGAGGUUUUUUUCAGGGUCCUGAUUUGAGGAAAGUGGAUGCAGAUCUCGCUCAAAUAAUCUUUCUCCAAUACCAUCAACAUUGCCUGCCAAAAAUAAAAGUGGCAUAUGAAUCACAAUAAUUCACUCAUGAUUUGGUGGAUUUAAAGCCUGCGAAGGAGCAUUAGAAAUCCACAUGAUGUUCCUGAGUUUUAUGGACUUCGAGUGGUGGUGAGGUGACAAAACUGUUGAAUCUGCAGACUGAAACCAUCGGAAGCCUUUCCUGAGCUGGAGCUUGAAAUGGUCAAUAUUAAGAAGAAACACCGCAUAAAUGUGUGUAUAUGUAAGAGUUAUGUUGACCCAUGAUUAAAAGAGAAGGUCAUCUUCUGCCAUUCAUCACAGACUGGCUUCAGUUUCUUCCAGCCAUUCACUGGAGGUGCUUGUUUCUAGGCCCUGAUGCUGCACAGUACCUCAAUCCAUUCAGCUUCUCUUCAAGAUGGUAACUACUUUCCGCUCCACAUAUCUGCUGCGGAAGAUCUUGUGAUUACCUGAAAAAGUGAAUUGCAUCCUGUAGAUUUCCCCUUAAAACUUUUGCUUCACAGAAAAGUUCAGCUUGUGACAGAUGCGUCAGUGAUGUGAGACUCACUUCUCUGUUGCCUAAUUGCCCUCUCCACCUUCUGUCAAUCUGAAACUUUCAUUUUGGAAAGGAUUGAAGGAGUUGUAUUAAUAUUUGUGCUAGCCACUAUUUUUCCUGCACAUUUUCUCCUUUCCUUUGGUGUCUGGUUUGUCUUGGCUGCUUCUAAAAAUUCUGUUGCCUCUAGUGAGGGACUGCCAGAUUAAACCAGUACAGAGAAGCCAGGUGACUGUCUACUUUUACAAAUAUAGGUUGUGUAUAAUAAAUUCAGGUUUUACAUCUAUGCAAAUGAAAUCAUCAUAUGAUUCUGACUACAUGCAUUUUUUUAUCAAAUAUGGCAUAUAUUUCACAAAUUAUAUUUAACUUAUACACAUGUUGCUAUUCUGAAUACCUGACUAGGAAUUGCAAAGUGUGCCACCAGAUCUUAGUAAAUGGGCUUAUGGAACAAGAAGAAAUAAGGGAAAAUCACCUCUUUUCCUUGCAUUAUGGACAAGUCCAGUGUAAGGGCUUUUCCUAAUCUAGAUGGCAAUAUAAACACCACAGAGAUGUUCAGAGGUACAUCUUUUUGUUGGGAAUUAAAGAAUUUACAAAUAAUAAAACAAAAUACCCUAAAAAAAGGAAGUUUUAAAGUAAUGUGUCUUUGGUCUAGUGUUUGUCACAGCUACUUGGUAUGGCCUUCCUCUAAUGUUUCAGUCAUGCAGAAUAAGACAUUAGUCACAGUGUCAAAAUAAGCAUGUUACUUCUGCAAAAAUGUAUUUUCACCUCAGGAAUAUUGUGAAGUGAAAAUAGGAUUUAGCACAAUUCUUCCUUUUGAGUUUUUCUACAGACAGGACAGUUUAGUGAUACACAGAUAGUGUAAAGCUCUAAAUCUUGCAAGAUGAUCCCCAACUGCAGGUAUGACACACCUGGAAGAAUCUGCCAACUGAGUGCUGGCUAGGAUUAAGCUGAAAAGGCAAGAACUCAGUGCUUUCAAUGUUAACUGUCCUCAACAACUGCUGGUUUGUUUUUUUGUUGUUGUUGUUGGGUUGUUUUUUUUUUUCUUUCUUUCUUUCUU